RNAcentral lists this ribosomal RNA (253 nucleotides) under uncultured bacterium. RNAcentral describes it as "partial 16S ribosomal RNA". It matches the Rfam family "Bacterial small subunit ribosomal RNA", at positions 524 to 776 of the family's 1533-position model. The record is from RNAcentral.
UACGUAGGGGGCAAGCGUUAUCCGGAUUUACUGGGUGUAAAGGGAGCGUAGACGGCGGUGCAAGCCAGAUGUGAAAGCCCGGGGCUCAACCCCGGGACUGCAUUUGGAACUGUAUGGCUGGAGUGUCGGAGAGGCAAGUGGAAUUCCUAGUGUAGCGGUGAAAUGCGUAGAUAUUAGGAGGAACACCAGUGGCGAAGGCGGCUUGCUGGACGAUGACUGACGUUGAGGCUCGGAAGCGUGGGGAGCAAACAGG